Molecule: ribosomal RNA, 254 nt
Filed under: uncultured bacterium
Lineage: Bacteria
Description: partial 16S ribosomal RNA
Rfam family: Bacterial small subunit ribosomal RNA
Source: RNAcentral
UACAGAGGUCUCAAGCGUUGUUCGGAUUCAUUGGGCGUAAAGAGCUCGUAGGCGGCUCAGUAAGUCGGGUGUGAAACCUCCAGGCUCAACCUGGAGACGCCACCCGAUACUGCUGUGGCUAGAGUCCAGUAGGGGAGUGUGGAAUUCCCGGUGUAGCGGUGAAAUGCGCAGAUAUCAGGAGGAACACCGGUGGCGAAGGCGGGUCUCUGGGCAGUAACUGACGCUGAGGAGCGAAAGCGUGGGGAGCGAACAGG